AGAGUGGGUUGGGCUGCCGCGUGAGCAUCACUCGUGGCCGUGGGGCACGCUCGGGAUGCUCCCGAGGAAAGUCCGAACUCCACAGGGCAACGGCGCUGGGUAACACCCAGGAGGGGCAACCCUACGGAAAGUGGCACAGAAACUACACCGCCUGAAUCGCACGCCAGUGCGAUCACGGUAAGGGUGAAAAGGUGCGGUAAGAGCGCACCAGCGGCAUGGAGACAUGCCGGCUGGCUAAACCCCGCCGGGAGCAAGGUCACAUAGGGGGACGAUCUCUCAGACAGGCGGUACGCACUGCGCACGCGCAGUCUGAUGGAGCGGAUGGCCCAUCCGGAUCCCCGGGUAGACCGCUGGAGCGCCAUGGCAACAUGGCGCGGAGAUAAAUGGCAGCCGGAGUCUCGCGACUACACUGUCCCGCUGCGCGGGCCCGUGACCGCGAGCCUUCCACAGAAUUCGGCUUAUAGACCCACUCUCUGC
Molecule: RNase P RNA, 477 nt
Filed under: Armatimonadota bacterium
Lineage: Bacteria; Bacillati; Armatimonadota
Description: Armatimonadetes bacterium (bioreactor metagenome) RNase P RNA component class A
Rfam family: Bacterial RNase P class A
About the family: Ribonuclease P (RNase P) is a ubiquitous endoribonuclease, found in archaea, bacteria and eukarya as well as chloroplasts and mitochondria.
Source: RNAcentral